Molecule: microRNA precursor, 153 nt
Filed under: Gossypium hirsutum (cotton)
Lineage: Eukaryota; Viridiplantae; Streptophyta; Magnoliopsida; Malvales; Malvaceae
Description: MIR7502 microRNA precursor family
Rfam family: MIR7502 microRNA precursor family
Source: Rfam by way of RNAcentral
UGUUAAAAUUUUCAUCCAUUUGUGUUGUUAAAAACUGAUGUGGUUGUGUAGCUAAUAGAAUAACCAAACAAUGACAUGUGCCUUGCCACAUGUACCUCGUGCUAACAUACAAGGACUGAUUUUUAACAGUAGAAAUAGAUAUAACUCCUAACU